This 124-nucleotide ribosomal RNA is filed under the name uncultured bacterium. Its description in RNAcentral is "partial 16S ribosomal RNA". The record is from RNAcentral.
CCGGGGCUUCUUCCCCCGCUACCGUCAUCAUCUUCACGGGUGAAAGAGCUUUACAACCCUAAGGCCUUCUUCACUCACGCGGCAUUGCUGGAUCAGGGUUGCCCCCAUUGUCCAAUAUUCCCCA